GAACGGAAACGAUGGGAGCUUGCUCCCAGGCGUCGAGUGGCGGACGGGUGAGUAAUACUUAGGAAUCUACCCAGUAGCGGGGGACAACUCGAGGAAACUCGAGCUAAUACCGCAUACGCCCUACGGGGGAAAGCAGGGGAUCUUCGGACCUUGCACUAUUGGAUGAGCCUAAGUCGGAUUAGCUUGUUGGUGAGGUAAAGGCUCACCAAGGCAACGAUCCGUAGCUGGUCUGAGAGGACGAUCAGCCACACUGGGACUGAGACACGGCCCAGACUCCUACGGGAGGCAGCAGUGGGGAAUAUUGGACAAUGGGGGCAACCCUGAUCCAGCAAUGCCGCGUGUGUGAAGAAGGCCUGCGGGUUGUAAAGCACUUUCAGUAGAGAAGAAAAGCCUACGGUUAAUACCCGUGAGUCUUGACGUUACCUACAGAAGAAGCUCCGGCUAACUCCGUGCCAGCAGCCGCGGUAAUACGGAGGGAGCGAGCGUUAAUCGGAAUUACUGGGCGUAAAGCGCGCGUAGGCGGCUUUGUAAGUCGGAUGUGAAAGCCCUGGGCUCAACCUGGGAAUGGCAUUCGAUACUGCAGAGCUAGAGUAUGGUAGAGGGAAGUGGAAUU
RNAcentral lists this ribosomal RNA (613 nucleotides) under uncultured bacterium. RNAcentral describes it as "bacterial SSU rRNA". It matches the Rfam family "Bacterial small subunit ribosomal RNA", at positions 64 to 668 of the family's 1533-position model. The record is from RNAcentral.